This 247-nucleotide ribosomal RNA is filed under the name uncultured bacterium. RNAcentral's name for it is "partial 16S ribosomal RNA". It matches the Rfam family "Bacterial small subunit ribosomal RNA", at positions 523 to 769 of the family's 1533-position model. The record is from RNAcentral.
AUACAGAGGUCCCGAGCGUUGUUCGGAUUCACUGGGCGUAAAGGGUGCGUAGGUGGUGAGGUAAGUCGGAUGUGAAAGCUCGGAGCUCAACUCCGAAAUGGCAUUGGAAACUACCUUGCUAGAGGGUUGGAAGGGGGACUAGAAUUCUCGGUGUAGCAGUGAAAUGCGUAGAUAUCGAGAGGAACACCAGUGGCGAAGGCGAGUCCCUGGACCGAUAUUGACGCUGAGACGCGAAAGCGUGGGUAGC